GGACGAACGCUGGCGGCGUGCUUAACACAUGCAAGUCGAACGGAAAGGCCCUAGCUUGCUGGGGUACUCGAGUGGCGAACGGGUGAGUAACACGUGGGUGAUCUGCCUUGCACUCUGGGAUAAGCUUGGGAAACUGGGUCUAAUACCGGAUAGGAACCGUCUUUAGUGUGGUGGUUGGAAAGUUUUUUCGGUGCAAGAUGAGCUCGCGGCCUAUCAGCUUGUUGGUGGGGUAAUGGCCUACCAAGGCGUCGACGGGUAGCCGGCCUGAGAGGGUGUACGGCCACAUUGGGACUGAGAUACGGCCCAGACUCCUACGGGAGGCAGCAGUGGGGAAUAUUGCACAAUGGGCGGAAGCCUGAUGCAGCGACGCCGCGUGGGGGAUGACGGCCUUCGGGUUGUAAACUCCUUUCGACAGGGACGAAGCGCAAGUGACGGUACCUGUAUAAGAAGCACCGGCUAACUACGU
This 466-nucleotide ribosomal RNA is filed under the name Corynebacterium sp. 'ARUP UnID 241'. RNAcentral describes it as "bacterial SSU rRNA". It matches the Rfam family "Bacterial small subunit ribosomal RNA", at positions 27 to 506 of the family's 1533-position model. The record is from RNAcentral. Lineage: Bacteria; Bacillati; Actinomycetota; Actinomycetes; Mycobacteriales; Corynebacteriaceae.